AUUAAGAAUUUAAAUGAAAACUUCAUGAAAUCCAGGUGUGCUGACAUUUAAACGUCUGUGGACGGCGUGCAGGUUCUUGAUUGCAUCAUCUCCUGGGCCAGAAUUAGACCUUGACUGAGCUCCUUGACACCGUUAUGUCCCAGAAGUUUUUUAAUUGGAUUCAGGCGUUAGGAACUUGAGGGCGGGUCUUUAUCAUCCAGGAAGUGCCGACUCAUUCUGGAUAGUAGUGCAGGGCUCUGGACUAAACCAAUAAGAAGACGACGGGGUCCUCCUCUCCAGUCCAAUAAUAGGUGAAUGGAUGCUCUAAUAAUGGAAGUGGUCACAACUGCAUCAUGAUCUGCUAAGAACUUCCACAUAAGAGCAUCACAUGCACAAAAGCAGCUCCAAAGCAUGAUGCUUCCGCCCCCAUGCUCUACAGUGGCUUUGAUCAUCUUGGGAUGCAACUCAACAUUCUUCUCCCCCCAAACACAGCAAGUAGCUUUUAUGCUAAAGAGUUUCAUUUUGGUCUCAUCUGACCACAUGAAAUUCUCACAAUCCUCAUCAAGAUGCUUUACUCUUCUGUAAACAAUAGACGGGCCUGGACAUGUGCUGGCUCAAGCAGGGGACCUUUGGAGCGCUGCAGGGUUUGACUCCAUAAAGACGUUGUGUGGUAUCAUCUUUCUUCAGGUCAUUGACCAGGUCCUCCAAGUAGUUCUGGGCUGUUUCCUCACCAUUCUCAAGGUAAUGUGUGUACCACCAUGUGAGAUCGUGAAUGAAGCUUUAAUAAUUAUAACAAUGGCUCUGACAGUUGAUGUCUUCUCUCCAAGCUGUUUGCCAAUUGUGGAUUAGUUCAUCCUAGACUUGCUCAGGUGAAUAAUCUUGUCCCUGGUGUCUUGGUCAUGGUAGAGAGGUUGUAGUCUGACUAUUUAAGGGUGAGGACAGGUGUCUUUUAUAAAUUUAUCCGUUCAAAGAUGUGACAUUAAUGCAGGUGAAUAGUGGAGGAUAGAAGAGCUUCUUAAAGGAGAUGUAACAUGUUUGUGAGGGACAAAAAAAACACGUUUUAAUUUCCUGGAUUUUAUUUUCUAAAUUAUGUCUCUCAAAGUUGAAAAUCUCUUAUCUUUUCAAGAGGAUAACCUGCAGAACUAGUGACUGCCAAAUACUUUUUUGACCCACUGCUGUAUAGGAUCACCUACUUUUAUUUUUUACAAUUAGUUAAGUUAAUAUUAGGAUGUGUACUUCUUUUGUACCUGAGUAACUACCUGAGAGUAACACCUA
Non-coding RNA from Oryzias latipes (Japanese medaka), 1254 nucleotides. NCBI's taxonomy places the organism in Eukaryota, Metazoa, Chordata, Actinopteri, Beloniformes, Adrianichthyidae. The record is from RefSeq and is a predicted model, not a curated record.